RNAcentral lists this ribosomal RNA (225 nucleotides) under Ectatomma tuberculatum. Its description in RNAcentral is "partial large subunit ribosomal RNA". The record is from RNAcentral. Lineage: Eukaryota; Metazoa; Arthropoda; Insecta; Hymenoptera; Formicidae.
GAAUUUUAUAUAUAAGAUUAUGUUUAUAAAUAUAUUUAUAUAUAGUUUAAUUUUAUUAUAAUUUUAUAUAUUUUAUUGGGAGGAUAAUUAAAUUAAUAAAACUUUAUAUUAAUAAUACAUUAAUUUAUGAAAAAUUAUGAAUGUAAUUUUAUAUUAUUAGAAUUAAUUACCUUAGGGAUAACAGCGUUAUAUUUUUAGAAAGAUCAUAUUGAUAAAAAUUAUUGC